CGAAAAAAAGUGAGGUUAAAUUUUGUCCGGCCAGCAAAAUCAUAUGGUGCGCUAGUAUGCGUACCCGAAACGUCAUAAAGCUCUAUAUGUAUAAAGCGCGACCUUCUUGUACCGAACCAGGGGGGCGACAUCUAUAUCUCACUACAGGCAGCUCGCCCGCAGCCAACACAAGCUGUCAACUUCGGCACCAGAACAAAAGGGAGCUGUCAAUUACGGCGCCAGCACAAAAGAACAGCUGUUCGUUACGGAACCAAAACAAAGCAACUGCGCACUGUAAAAAAAGUACAAAAACUGCAGGCAUAAAAUGGAAAUAAAGUAAUUAUUGUUUUUAUGUAAAAUUUUACCGCAAUGUACGUUUAAAAGUUAGUGUAUGUUUUUGAGGUGAUUUUUAUCAAUUUAUUUGCAAAAUAAACUACUAAAGUUGGGAUUAUUAAGCACACAUCGGGCCGAUGACCUCAUUUAAAGUUGUACUUUUAUCACAUGAAACGUUUAACUUAACUACUGUGUAAUUUGACUUUUACUACAGUAAUUCUUAUAACAAAAAUUGAAUUAUUAAUAAAAAAAAUAUUUUUGUUUUCACUGUGCGCAGUUUGCGCGCGUUAUCAAUCUCAAUCACCCAAGAUGGCGGCUUUAAGCAUCCCCCUGUACCGAACGCACCAUUACACCGAAACCGUGCGACCCUCCUCAAACAAACACAACAUGGUUGAGCGAGCUGUCAUUUGUUUUAAUUAUAAAGUAUACAAAAUAGUCCACCUACUCGAGAUCUUUUUUGUAUCUAAUGUAAAUCAAGUAAAAUAAUGUAAAUUAGCCAAUGUGGAUUUGUAAACAACAGUCUAUCCUGCUCAUUUUGUAUGUAAACACGAACUGACGUGAUCAAGACAGACUGUUGCUUACAAAUCCACAUCAGCCCAUAACCAUUGUUUUGCUUGGAAUAUCAACUAACGUAAUGGAGUUGCUCUUUGUUUACGCUUCGACAUUGGCCCAAUUAUAUUUGUUUGCUUGAUUGUAGAUUUUUCAAGGUAUUUAUUUUUGUAUGUCUACAAAUAAUUGGGUCCUGAAAUGAAGCUUGGAUUGCUGAUAUUAUUAAUUACAGCGAUAAAGCUUAUUUUUCUGAGUACAAUGACCCUUUGUACGACCACAAAGAGUUUAAAAUGGAUUUUUAAAUCAAUUUUGAAAAAUUAACCUCGCGGUCCUUCUUGACAGAAAAGCUUCUACUUGACAGCGUUCCAAGGGGACUAUAGUUGAACCAUCGAAAAAAUGUUGUCUUGUCAACAUUUUUUUGCAUUAAAAUGAAAAAAAAGUGAUCAGAAAUGGUUUUUAAUCGUGUUUUUUACCGUUGUACAUCAAAAAUGACAUAGGGCUUUAGUACCCAAUUGGGUCCUAAAAUGAAACUUAGAUUGCUGAUAUUAUUGUUUACAGCGAUAAAGCUUAUUUUUCUGAGUACAAUGACCUUUUGUACGACCACAAAGAGUUUAAAACUAGGUUUAAAAUGGAUUUUUAAAUCAAUACUGAAAAAUUAACCUCGCGGUCCUUCUUGACAGAAAAGUUCCUACUUGACAACUCGUUCCAAGGGGACCAUAGUUGAUCCAUCGAAAAAAUGUUGUCUUGUCAAAACAAAAAAUUGCAUUAAAAUGAAAAAAAAGUGAUCAGAAAUGGUUUUUAAUCGUGUUUUUUACCGUUGUACAUAAAAAUUGACAUAGGGCUUUAGUACCCAAUUAAAACAGAGUGAAUCAGCUACCAAAAAAAAGCUUUAUUGUGCAGCACAAGCUUACCAAACGAACGCACCAAUGCAAGUGACAUGUAGCGUACUGAGCGUACUCAAACGAACGCACCAUCGAGCUGUCAAACUUUUUCACUCACGCGUGUUCGAUCAUGUCCGCGUAGUUGUUGGUUUUGGUGUCGAAUUUUCCGCAAUAAAUCGCGUGUGAAAGUUUAUUGGGCGCUUGCCCAAGCAUAUUUCGAUUUAGUUCCCGUCUUUUGUUGAAAAGGCCCGCCGGGGACCAAGCCGGAAUCACUCCGAGAUUGUGACUAGGUGUGGAACGACGAUUUUCAGCAACUUUGGUAAGUAUUUCGAGAGUGGAGAAAUUUGGAUCUUGGAAUUGUUUCCAACUGUGUUCGUGGGGGAGACCGGAGUCCCUCCCCACUUUUUUUGCAAGCAGUGACAUUACCAAACUUUUCGGCACCUUCCGCAAACGUCAAACCAGUCCGAAGUUGGUGUCGGAUCUCUUCCGGAAAAGAUUCGGCAACAAAUUUGUAUGGUUUGACGUUGCGGAGGAUGCCGAAAAAUGUCAACAAAUCACUUGUUGCAUUGGAAAUAGUAGCAGCAGGCAUUUUUCUUGCUUGGGCAGCUCGUUUUAACAAUCUUUUGUAUUUGGUUUCCAACAGGGAAUAUUUCGACCAUGGAUCAUUUGAAGCUGUUGGCGCUCUAUUUGGCCGAGGAACUACACCAGCGACGAACUCCAACCACAGAGUAACCCUCUGCACCUGCCUACACUCAAACUCCUUUCUCCAUUCAUGUCGUUCAUCACCGGCCGAUUUCGUCACUGUUGGCAGUAUCCGUCGCACCGUGCCCUGUGAAACCUGUAACCAGCAGAAUGAAUCCCUUCUACCCACACCAAUGCUGUUUACGUAAGCGGUUCUCUUUGUGCGGACCAGUAUGUACAACAAAAUUGGACAUCCGUCUCCGGAUGUUCUGGUCAGACAGGAAGCAAGAAGAGGAACCUCAACCAGAGCUAACAAACGAUGUGCUCAUCGUUGAGAUCUUGGAAGGCACGGAUGAGGUCGUCGAGUACAAGAACAAUGUACUCGUCUAUGUACCAAAAGAUUAAUCCGGCCUUUUCCUUGAAGACGGUGGCUCGCGGCAGGCUUGAAUCCCAUUUCUCGUUGGAAUUGAAUAGAAACCCACACCGGAACACAAAAGCUACCAGAGUUUCCCGAGCUCAUUAUUCACAACGAGAAUUGAGAACGAACGUGAACUAAUCCCGGCUCCAGUAUUGAAGAUAGAUCUCCAAAGAAAAAAAAAGUCACUGGAGUUGCAGUUUGGAGUGUUGGUAACGCAAAUAGAAUUAAAACAAAAGUGAAAUGUAAACAAAACGAAUUAAAAUUAAAAUAAAUUCUAAUGUACCUACAAUUCAUUGUACUGUUUGAAUAUAGUUUUUACAGUACCAUUUAGUAGGAAACAAACGAUAAUAAACUAUAAUUUUACUGUGAAAUUCACUGCAAUGAUUAUUUAUUUCAAUGUACGGAUAGAGUGAAAACAGUACUAUUUAGUAGGAAAAAAAUGAUAAAGGACUAUAAUUUUACUGCGUAAUCCAUUGUAAUGCUUGCUGUUUUUAUUAUAAAUGUAUGAUGUUUUCUAUAGUCAGGGCAAGUUUUUGAAUGAAAAAUGCAACAUUAGAUUAACAGUAAAAUGCGUCGUAUUUGGAAAAAAAAUGUAUGGAAAAAUUUCGAAAUUUUUAUGGUACCGGUGCAUAACAACCCCCCUUUUUUAUGGUAAAAUCCCAAAAUACGACGCAAAUUAUCUUAAAAAACGAUGCUGUCUACUGUUAAAACACUGUCAAAAUGACAAUAUAUUUUAUCGUUUUGUAACGUUAAAAUUUACUGUAAGUUCAUCAGAAAUCUUUAUGCGGGUUAGCCAAACAAAACAUGUUUGUUAUUGUUUACAUUACGUGCUCUUGGUUCAGGUUAUUCAAGGUCAAUAACGAAAACUUAAGAGCGAGUCCACGAGCAAAGCGUACCCGUCUCGCAUCGACCUCACCAAUCUGCCUGAAUUUUUCAGGGGUUAUUUGUACAUAUAAAACUAGCAUCCGGCCAAAAUAUGAGCACUCUAGGUCAACGGGAAGUGGGGCAAAUCGGGACACAAAGUUUGAUGGUUCAAAAACGUCAAAAAUCUUUAAAAGGCUAUAACUUAGGCAAAAUUAAUUUAAUUUAAAAUUUCAAAAUGCAUCUGAAAGGGUUUGAAAAAUGCAACAAAAUGCAGUGUAGAGCAUCUCAACUGGUAAAAUCUAAAGGGAGUUAUUGGCAUUUUAGUGAAAAAAUAGCAUAAUUUUCAGUGUUCCAUUCAGAUAUCAACUCGGUUCGACCUGCAGCUUGUAGGGGACAUCUGGGACUACCAUCUGAGACUGAGGACGCUUUGGGUAUGGCAGUUUAACAUAUUAAAUAGCCCCUUUUACUUUUAGUGAAUUUUUUGAUUGUAAAUUUUUGCUCGGGGGACCCCUUAGAUCCCAUUUUCUAGUGAUAAUUUUAUCAUAUUCGUGUUCCUGAGACAAUUUCACAAUAGAAACAUGUACCGUAAACUGGGGUGACUUUGAUAGCCCGGGGUGACAUUGAUAGAAAUUUGAUUUAGCCACUAACAUUGAUACAUCCAAUGUAACAGUCACAUUUUUGCAUAUAUGUUCGAUAAUAAGCUAUCCCUUAAUGCUUCCAUACUAAAAAUUCUCAAAAAUGUUCAGAUAUUAAUUCGACGGGCAUUUUAAAAACCUAUCAAAGUCACCCCGGGCUAUCAAAGUCACCCCAGUUUACGAUACAAAAAUGUUUAUUUUCAUCCAUUUUAUCCCUUUAAAAAUAAAAGUUAAAAUAUAAUCUUUGAUUCACAUUUAAUGAAAAUCAAGUUCGUUUCCAUGGACACUAGAUGUCACCAGAAAAAGGCAGCUUCUUAAUUUUUUUAACUUUAAUUUUUUGAAGGGUAAGGCAGAUUGGUGAGGACCAAACGACGUCCCAUACAAAGGGGUAUGCCCUGUUCGUGAACUCGCUCUUAAGUAUUCCUCGGAACUUCAAAAAGCGACGUACGACAAGAUAGCACGAUCACGUCGAACUGAGAAAAACGCGGUUGAGAUUUUUACACAUUGUUGCUGAAUUUAUACAAAUAAUUGUCCAAGGUUUCCACUUUUGCCCUGUAUGUCCUUAUUCCCCAGAUUUACUUUUGUCGCUUUUACAGUUUUUGCACACAAAUAAUAUUGGUUUUUUGGCAUAUAUACUAAAAACUAACUUAAUCCACCUAUGUGGUUGGAGCCUUCCUCACAACAAUGGCUGUACACAAGUUUCAUCUAUUUUUUAGAUCCGGCUUCCAAAAAGUACAUCGAUAUCACUUAAGUGGCCAUAUCUCGAGACAGGGUUGCCAGAUCUUCAAUGUUUUGGACUCGUUGGAAAGGUUUUUUGAUAACCUAACCAACGCAACGUUGCAACGUUGGGUCGGAUGAUGGACCCGGACAUAGUUUACAUACAUUUAAGUGAGAUCCGGCUUCAAAAAAGUACAUCAAUAUCACUUAAGUGGCCAUAUCUCGAGACAGGUUUGCCCGAUCUUCGAUGUUUUGCACUCGUUGGAAAGGUCUUUUGAUAACCUAACCAACAAUAGGUCGAAUGGUGGAUCCGGACAAAGUUUACAUACAUUUAAGUGAGA
This is a long non-coding RNA of Culex pipiens pallens (northern house mosquito), 5398 nucleotides long. RefSeq lists it as uncharacterized. The record is from RefSeq and is a predicted model, not a curated record. The transcript is spliced from 4 exons. Lineage: Eukaryota; Metazoa; Arthropoda; Insecta; Diptera; Culicidae.